ACACUUUAGAAUAAUGAAAUCUCAGUUGUCCCUUGUAAUGAUAGCAAUUGCCAUGUGGUAGAAAUCUUAAUGUAGAAUAGAUCCUGGAACUUCUUAUCACAUAGAAGUAAUCUGCUGAAUUGCAAAGAACCUGGGAGUUCCUUGCCGCCAUCUAUUUUAAAGUUCAGUUUUGUCCUGAAUGCGUUAGCAUCUCAGGAAUAGAAAAGGGACUCUCAGAACAAAACAGAUCGCUCUGAAGUUUUUCCAAGCUUCAGGAGAUGAUGUCCUGGAGCCUGCCCAGUGGAGGAGAAUGGAAAAAUGAGGCAUCUGAACUACAACUCCUAUGAGGCACCUUGCUGACAUUGCCAACUAGCAAUAAUUUGGUUUUAGAUUUUUUUCAGAGAAAAGUCAACGUUUUCUGUAGAAGCACCCUCUCCUAUCCUUCUCUGACUAUCUCUAAUUACAAUUUGUGGAUCCUGCUGUGAAGGGGAAAAAAAGGGGUCAGCACUUUUUUCCCAUUCUUUAUAAAAACUUGAAAAGAUUUGUUGUAAAAUCCAAGCACAAUUGUUAUUACAUUAGAACUCCAAGUGUUUUCUGCCUUGAAAGAGCCUACAGAGAACUAGAAUGUGAUCCAAACUAUGACAUCAGCUAUACCUGUGAUUGUACUGAUUCACAAUACCUGAUCAAUUAAGAGGGGAAGUAACUUUUAUUGAUUGUUUAAACCCCUGGGUUUUCGUUAAAACCUGUUUUACUAACACUUGGGAGAAAGACUCUCUUUGCUAAGGAUUCAGCAGUAGCCUUCAUCCCUACAAUCAAGGUCUGAGAGAGCUCUCAAUCCAGCACUCUGAGUCAGCCAUGGAGUUCUCCAGUAAAACCAAGGAGAACAAACUUGAUAUUCCUAAGAUGAAAAACAAUCAAUAAAAAAAGUUAAAGGGGCACUGAGGGGAAACAAACACAGCCUUUUCAUGCCUUCUUUAUGGAUCUCAUGACUGCAAAGAGGGCAUGAUCCCAGUUUUUGUCCUUUGCAGGUCAC
Molecule: long non-coding RNA, 1012 nt
Organism: Dermochelys coriacea (leatherback sea turtle)
Lineage: Eukaryota; Metazoa; Chordata; Testudines; Dermochelyidae
Exons: 3
Source: RefSeq, a predicted model, not a curated record